RNAcentral lists this ribosomal RNA (497 nucleotides) under uncultured bacterium. RNAcentral's name for it is "partial 16S ribosomal RNA". It matches the Rfam family "Bacterial small subunit ribosomal RNA", at positions 28 to 507 of the family's 1533-position model. The record is from RNAcentral.
GAUGAACGCUGGCGGCGUGCCUAAUACAUGCAAGUCGAGCGAACGGACGAGAAGCUUGCUUCUCUGAUGUUAGCGGCGGACGGGUGAGUAACACGUGGAUAACCUACCUAUAAGACUGGGAUAACUUCGGGAAACCGGAGCUAAUACCGGAUGAUAUUUUGAACCGCAUUGUUCAAAAGUGAAAGACGGUCUUGCUGUCACUAAUAGAUGGAUCCGCGCUGCAUUAGCUAGUUGGUAAGGUAACGGCUUACCAAGGCAACGAUGCAUAGCCGACCUGAGAGGGUGAUCGACCACACUGGACCUGAGACACGGUCCAGACUCCUACGGGAGGCAGCAAUAGGGAAUCUUCCGCAAUGGGCGAAAGCCUGACGGAGCAACGCCGCGUGAGUGAUGAAGGUCUUCGGAUCAUAAAACUCUGUUAUUAGGGAAGAACAUAUGUGUAAGUAACUGUGCACAUCUUGACGGUACCUAAUCAGAAAGCCACGGCUAACUACGUG